Molecule: long non-coding RNA, 651 nt
Filed under: Sorghum bicolor (sorghum)
Lineage: Eukaryota; Viridiplantae; Streptophyta; Magnoliopsida; Poales; Poaceae
Description: long non-coding RNA (SBIC_LNC017086)
Source: RNAcentral
GCUGGUAUAGUUUUGUCAUAGUUAUUUGGACCAGAUCGGACCAGCGGUCAGACCAUUAAAAGACCAAACCAAAAACUAAAUUGGUCCGAUUUACCUAAACGACUAUAUAUACAAUCAAAUCAGUAAAAACCGAUUAAACCAGCUGGUUUUUUAUUUUUUAUGGAACGGUGACCGGCCGGUUCCCGGUCUGUUUAAUAGCGCGUGCGCACCUAUCCUGUUGUGCAGGGUGGUGUGGUUGUAGUGCUUGCACUUAACAUUAGUGGGCCCAUCUGGCAGCUCUACAGUCCUCACGCUUCAUGCACCUACCAUCCAUUGGCCUUGCUGCAACUCACCUUUGGAGUUUGAAUGUUGCAUGCGCGUGGUGCUGCUCUACUGACUUUUUUAGUGCCUGCGUGUCUGCAUUAUCUUUUAAAUUUCAAAAUUUUAUAUUUUUUUUCUAAUGAGCUCUAAAUUAGAUAAAUAAUAUAUCUAUUUUAAUUAACACAAUGUGCUCUUUGCAACGGUGCACUCUAUUUUAGCAUUUGAAUUUUUUUGCAAUGGUGAAUAUUUCUACUAUUUUAGUCAUUUUGUUUUGAAUUAUCACAACGAGAUUGCUCGCAUUCAGUAUCUGCAUAUCUAUGAACUUAUGGUUGUACAAUUAAAUUGUGUUAU